UAGCAUAAGUUUAGCCCAAAUUGACGUGACGUUCACCCGAAAAAUCUUAAACAGUUUCAGAGCGCUGACGUAGCGCACUGGUCUGGUGAACGCACCCAAUGAUAUAUCGAAACCCAAAAAAAAAGGAAGAAGAUAAACGUCAUCCGUCAUCCAGUCUCAUCUCGACAAAAAACCAAAACAUUUCUGACAUUUCUCAAAAUAAACUAGUUUUUGUUUUAUUGCUUAUAUGUAAUUCAGAUAUUUUGUGACUGUUUAAAUUAUGGAAACCAAAGAAGAUGUAAAAUAUAUUAAAGUUGAAGUUAAAGAAGAGUACGAGGAUGAUUUAGAAUCGAAAAUAUCCACAUACACUCCCAUCUCCUCAGAAAUUAAAAUUGAAGAUGUUGAAGGAUUUGCUAAAGAUGAGCCAGGAAUUUUCCUACCAGAGAUUAAAAUGGAAAAUAUGAAAACAGAAACAAAAGACUUCUCUAAUAAGAUACACGAUUCUCUAGAUGAUACUGAAAAAGAAAAAUUCAGUGAAUGUGAAAUUUGCCACAAGAAAUUCAAAGAAAGAAAACACCUGAAUCAACACAUGAGGAGGUUACAUAAAGAAAGAAAAUCUCUCGAAUGUGAGAUUUGCUCCAAAUCGUUUUCUGCUGGUUUUUCUUUAAGGAACCAUAUGCGCAUCCACACUGGGGAGAUGCCUUUCCAAUGCAAAAUCUGUUCAAGGAAGUUUACCAGAAAGGAUUUCAUGAAAAAACACUUGAUCACACACAGCGAGGAAAAAUCUUACACAUGUGAAGUUUGCUUGAGACCCUUUUCACUAUUGUCUAAUCUGCAAAGACAUAUAAGAAUUCACACAGGAAUUUGAUAACAAUGCGUUGUACAACCGAACAUGGUACUACUCUCUAGUUUAUCGCAACAGUAACUGACUGCACGUUAUUAGAGAACAAGCGGUAGCGGCCUAGCGCCCAGUCGUGCAUCAGACUAUAUAACCUCCCACCACAGGACUAAUCUAGACAUAUAAUAAUAAUAUUAAUAAUAAUGAAAAAGGUUUUUAUUCCAAAAAAAAAAUACAUACAAAUAUUGAUCGAAGUUUAGAUUACUCUUACAGUUAACUCACUAACUUGAUGCUGAAUUAAAUUCCUCAAAUGUUUACAAUUUAAAUGGCACUAAAAUUAUAGAUAUAAACAUAUAGAGUGAAACGAAUAAAUUUAAAUAAAUAAGAAAAAUGCUUUUUUUUUAAUUCACAUAAAGGAGAAGGCAAAGAAAGGACAGCAACUUAUUAUAUGGACUAAAAUUGCAGAUUAUUAAAUGGAUGCAGCAGAUUGUUUUAUUAAAUGUAAUGAUUGAGUUUAUUAAUAAAAUUUUUACUUCGGUUUCAAACUUUUUGGAGGUUUUAAUGUUUUUAAAUUUUUGUGGGACAGUUGUAGGCCUUAAUAGUUUUAUAGGUAAAAUAUUUUUUAAAUAUAAAUGUUCUAAACCUAGGAAGAGCAAGUGUUUCAGGAAAGCGAAUGGUGCGUGGAAGUGUAUGAAGCUGUUCUCUAAAUAUAAUUUUAUCUUUUAUGUAACUUGGUGUAUCUGUUUGAAUCACUUUAUGAAUAAAAACCAAAUUUUGCAGCUUGUAUUGAUUAGUAACACUAAGCCAAUUGAGUUCUUUUAUUUUAAGGGAUAUUCUGUCGUAUUUUCGAAGGGCAUGAAUCUACAUGCAGCAUGAAUUUUGUAUUUUUUGUAAUCGUUUGAGAUUAUUAACCGUUAGACAAGAACCAUAUAUAAAAUUAUAUCGUCAGUUUAUGCUAAGCAUGGACGGAAAGUCAGUUCCCAUUUGAUUCACCCACGUACAUAUCAAAUAAUUUUUAUUCAUGAAACAGAUUGGUGCAGGUCGACCUUAUAUCGGAUCCUCUACUAUUAUACAAAAAGUGAUUUACAAGACCACAUUGAUUUCCAAGGUUUUUAUCCAGAAUGAAUUUUCAAAUGCGUCUCCAAGUUACCAUUCCGAGAAAACUGCUUAGAACAGCUAUUACAUUUAUAUUUAUUUAUCUACGAUUUUUCGUUAGAGUGCAUAGACAAGUGUUUUUUGAAAUAACCUUGCUGAGAAAACCCUUUCAAACAAAUUUCACACUUAUAGGGCUUUUCUCUAGUGUGAACUUUAGCGUGGUCAUCCAAAUAUUCUUUUCGCGUGAACUGCAUAUUACAAAUUUCACACUUGUGAGGUUUUUCACCAGUGUGCAACAUCACAUGUCUUUUCAAACUACUUGCUCCGAAAUAAAGCUUAAAACAGAUUUCACACUUAUAGGUUUUUUCCAAUGUUGUGACUGCGUAAAUGUAUCGCCAAAUUACUGUUGUGAGAAAACAUCUAAAAACAAAUUUCACACUUAUAAGGCUUUUCUCCAGUGUGAACCAUCAAAUGCCUCUUCAAAGUUCCUGCUUCACUAAAUCGCUUAGAACAAAUUUCACACUCGUGAGGUUUUUGUCCGGUGUGCAAUCUCAAAUGCCUUCUUAAAGCUCUGACACCACUAAACCGUGUAGCACAAAUUUGGCACUUGUAAGGUUUUUCCUUAGUGUGGAC
Molecule: unclassified non-coding RNA, 2545 nt
Filed under: Diabrotica virgifera virgifera (western corn rootworm)
Lineage: Eukaryota; Metazoa; Arthropoda; Insecta; Coleoptera; Chrysomelidae
Description: zinc finger protein 239-like
Source: RNAcentral